GACUACAUCACUGACAGUAUCGCCGACUGCCAGGCCACCAUCAUGCAGCUGGAGGAGACCAAGGAGGAGCUGGACUCCACCGACACCUCCGUGGUGAUCAGCUCCUGCUCCUUGGCCGAGGCGCGCCUCCUGCUGGACAACUUCCUCAAGGCAUCCAUCGAUAAGGGGCUGCAGGUGGCUCAGAAAGAAGCCCAGAUUCGCCUGCUGGAAGGGCGCCUGAGACAAACGGAUGUGACCAGCUCCUCCCAGA
This is a long non-coding RNA of Malaclemys terrapin pileata, 250 nucleotides long. RefSeq lists it as uncharacterized. The record is from RefSeq and is a predicted model, not a curated record. NCBI's taxonomy places the organism in Eukaryota, Metazoa, Chordata, Testudines, Emydidae. The transcript has 3 exons.